Molecule: long non-coding RNA, 350 nt
Filed under: Fukomys damarensis (Damara mole-rat)
Lineage: Eukaryota; Metazoa; Chordata; Mammalia; Rodentia; Bathyergidae
Description: lncRNA (ENSFDAG00000024187.1)
Source: RNAcentral
CACCAGUUGUAAUCUGACAGGACGGCAGGCCGAUGAAUUCAUGAACCAUUCCAUUUCAGGUGGUUAGCCUCAAGCUGGACUUCGUUUGAGCCCAUGAGAGCAUCAGUGAAAGCAAAAAGGUUGUCAGGAGGCAACCAUGGAUGUCCUGCCACUCAUCUCUCAGCUAGCUGGCUAGAGACUGGAGUGCUUCACGCACAAUGGCUGUAUGCAGGCUGUGGAGAGCAGGAAUCCCCGGCCUGACCAUAGUUCGUACAUAUUCUCCCUGAUGGAGGCUAGCCUGACAUUGACCUCACAUCAUGGUAGCUGGCAGCUCAACGUCGCUGUGCAAGGAGAACGACGGAGGUGGUUCA